AGAGUUUGAUUCUGGCUCAGAACGAACGCUGGCGGCAGGCUUAACACAUGCAAGUCGAACGAUAUAGUGGCAGACGGGUGAGUAACGCGUGGAAACGUGCCUUUCACUACGGAAUAGCUCCGGGAAACUGGAAUUAAUACCGUAUACGCCCUCCGGGGGAAAGAUUUAUCGGUGAAAGAUCGGUCCGCGUUAGAUUAGAUAGUUGGUGGGGUAAUGGCCUACCAAGUCUACGAUCUAUAGCUGGUCUGAGAGGAUGAUCAGCCACACUGGGACUGAGACACGGCCCAGACUCCUACGGGAGGCAGCAGUGGGGAAUCUUGCACAAUGGGCGAAAGCCUGAUGCAGCCAUGCCGCGUGAAUGAUGAAGGCCUUAGGGUUGUAAAAUUCUUUCGCUAGGGACGAUAAUGACGGUACCUAGUAAAGAAGCCCCGGCUAACUUCGUGCCAGCAGCCGCGGUAAUACGAAGGGGGCUAGCGUUGUUCGGAAUUACUGGGCGUAAAGCGCGCGUAGGCGGACUAACAAGUUGGAUGUGAAAUCCCAGGGCUCAACUCUGGAACUGCAUUCAAAACUGUUAGUCUAGAGGCCAGGAGAGGUCAGUGGAAUACCGAGUGUAGAGGUGAAAUUCGUAGAUAUUCGGUGGAACACCAGUGGCGAAGGCGACUGACUGGACUGGUACUGACGCUGAGGUGCGAAAGUGUGGGGAGCAAACAGGAUUAGAUACCCUGGUAGUCCACACCGUAAACGAUGAAUGCUAGUUGUCUGCAUGCAUGCAUGUAGGUGACGCAGCUAACGCAUUAAGCAUUCCGCCUGGGGAGUACGGCCGCAAGGUUAAAACUCAAAGAAAUUGACGGGGGCCCGCACAAGCGGUGGAGCAUGUGGUUUAAUUCGAAGCAACGCGCAGAACCUUACCCACGUUUGACAUGCCCUGUUUGAUCGAUGGAGACAUCUUUCUUGGUUCGUCCGCAGGUGCACAGGUGCUGCAUGGCUGUCGUCAGCUCGUGUCGUGAGAUGUUGGGUUAAGUCCCGCAACGAGCGCAACCCUCACCCUUAGUUGCCAGCAGGUUAGGCUGGGCACUCUAAGGGAACUGCCGGUGGCAAGCCGGAGGAAGGUGGGGAUGACGUCAAGUCCUCAUGGCCCUUACGCGUGGGGCUACACACGUGCUACAAUGGUAGUGACAAUGGGAUAAUCCCAAAAAACUAUCUCAGUUCGGAUUGUCGUCUGCAACUCGACGGCAUGAAGUUGGAAUCGCUAGUAAUCGUGGAUCAGCAUGCCACGGUGAAUACGUUCCCGGGCCUUGUACACACCGCCCGUCACAUCAUGGGAGUUGGUUCUACCCGAAGACUGUGUGCUAACUUCGGAGGCAGCAGGCCACGGUAGGAUCAGUGACUGGGAUGAAGUCGUAACAAGGUAGCCGUAGGGGAACCUGCGGCUG
This 1433-nucleotide ribosomal RNA is filed under the name Ponticaulis koreensis DSM 19734. RNAcentral describes it as "bacterial SSU rRNA". It matches the Rfam family "Bacterial small subunit ribosomal RNA". The record is from RNAcentral. RNAcentral also lists the same sequence under 3 other names. Lineage: Bacteria; Pseudomonadati; Pseudomonadota; Alphaproteobacteria; Hyphomonadales; Hyphomonadaceae.